Molecule: unclassified non-coding RNA, 250 nt
Filed under: plant metagenome
Description: partial contains small subunit ribosomal RNA, internal transcribed spacer 1, and 5.8S ribosomal RNA
Source: RNAcentral
GUAGGUGAACCUGCGGAAGGAUCAUUACCGAGUCUAGGGGGCCGUUGGCCCCCGAGCCUCCAACCCUUGACUGAAACUACCGCGUUGCUUUGGCGGGCCUGUCCUGAAAACGGGCUGCCGGAGGUGUCACUGCCUCUGGCCUGCGCCCGCCAGUAGCCACAACCAACCCUUCUUCAACCGUGACGUCUGAGUGUAAAUACAAAAUAUAUAUAAAACUUUCAACAACGGAUCUCUUGGUUCUGGCAUCGAU